Molecule: long non-coding RNA, 1618 nt
Organism: Equus caballus (horse)
Lineage: Eukaryota; Metazoa; Chordata; Mammalia; Perissodactyla; Equidae
Source: Ensembl
CUCUGUGAGGCGGAUGGGUUGGUCCAGCUCUGACCCUCCAUCAUCUUACACCUCUCUACCACGCUCAGAACCCACUCCACUUGGCAGAGGUGAAUGUGCCAAUGCCUCUAGAAUGCCAGGCACCCUAAAAUUCCAGGCCUGCCAGACACCCCGAAUUUCAAGGCGCAGCCCUGGUCCCCCAAGGCUUUGACAGCCAGGAAGAGGAGACAGGAGCCUGGAGCUUGGCUCUUUUUCCUUGGCAAAUUCUGGGGCACAGGACAGAAAGCGGAAAUAGGAAGAGACCACACCAUCCAAGCUGAGGCUUUGGGACCAAAAGGGACCCUGGGAAUCUCGAGGUCCAACUGUCUACACUUUAUGGAUGGAGACACUCGGGCCGAGAAGGGAGAAGUGAGGUCGCCCAGUGAUGUAGGAGCAGAGCAAGCACCGGGCACCGGUCCCCGGCUCGCCCAUCCCACCAGGCUGGCCCCUACUGCAGGAUUUUUGCUGUGAAAACCAGUGUUCUGACAUCAGAAGGCACAUCCUCUGCAAAUGUAGAUUUCUGAGCAAACACGCCCGUGAGAAGGUCAGCAGCAAGUUCCCGCAUGGGUGGUGACACACGGACGAGGAUUUGGUUCUUUGAGGGACCCCCAGCCCUGUUGCUGACAUUUUUUCUUUCUCCAAGCUCCUGGUUGGCGAAUCAGAUAAUUCAUCACUUGAUUCUGGUGACCUCUAGUGGACGCACUUUAAAAGCAAUAUUCAGGUCUCAAGUAAAGGGACAGAGCUCAGACAAGUGUCCCGGAAGCAGUUUAUCCAGAGCUGGGCUUCUCAGACUCUCAGGUGCCUGCCAAAGAUCUGGGAAGAUUAGGAACCCGCGGCGUCCGGCCCCGGUAGGCCUGAAGUCUGGCUCAGAGAUGGUUUCAGCUCCGCUCGGCGGGAGGCACCCCUGGGCACGCUGCAGAAGCGCAGUCACCGUUCCUGCAGUCCCAGGGCACCAUAGUCCCCUCGUGAGCCCCAUCACCCCAAGCGAUUUAGUUCCUGGGGUAUGUUCUGCGGACGUGCCUGGCCUGGAGGGCCUCCCAUGACCCCAUCUGGAGGGAGUCAAAUUUCAGACUUGAAGUAUUAGAUCCCGGCUAGUCUGGCUCCUUCGUGGCGAGUGGGGAAACAGAGAUGAAGGGAUGGGCUCUGGGGCCCGCAGGCGUUCAGAGGCAGAGCUGAGGCCAGAAUCAACACUGCCCACCGUCCCCAGACAAGGGUGUUUGCACCUGAACGCACAGGCCACAGCAGCCGCCUGCUAUACUCCCUCACCCGCGUGGCCACGCCUCCCUGCCCGUAUGCCUGUGCCCCCUUCUUUGCCUACAGAGUUUGUGACUGUCCCUCUGGGCCCAGCUGAAAUGCCCCUUCCUCUGUCACGUCCUUCUAGAAGCUCACUUCUCCUUGGCCGAAGUGGGACAGCAUCAGCACCAUGUUCAGGUUCUCAGACUCCUCCAGGACGACCCUGUCGGUCUUCAGGCCCACCAGCUCCACCUCCAGCCUCUGCCGCUGGUUCUGAAAGGAACACCAAGGUGUUCACUGCCAGCUGGCCCUUGGUUGAGAGCAAGACAUUCCAAUGGAAUGAAUGAAUGAAUGAAUGAAUAAACAA